This 445-nucleotide ribosomal RNA is filed under the name uncultured bacterium. Its description in RNAcentral is "partial 16S ribosomal RNA". It matches the Rfam family "Bacterial small subunit ribosomal RNA", at positions 354 to 796 of the family's 1533-position model. The record is from RNAcentral.
GUGAGGAAUAUUGCGCAAUGGAGGCAACUCUGACGCAGCCAUGCCGCGUGCAGGAAGAAGGCGCUACGCGUUGUAAACUGCUUUUAACCGGGAAGAAACCCCAGGACGUGUCCUGGGUUGACGGUACCGGAGGAAUAAGCACCGGCUAACUUCGUGCCAGCAGCCGCGGUAAUACGAAGGGUGCAAGCGUUAUCCGGAUUCAUUUGGUUUAAUGGGUGCGUAGGCGGAGCGUUAAGUCAGUGGUUACAUCCUGCAGCUUAACUGUAGACUUGACAUUGAUACUGGCGCUCUUGAGUGCGCUUGAAGUGGGCGGAAUGUGCCGUGUAGCGGUGAAAUGCUUAGAUAUGGCACAGAACACCAAUUGCGAAGGCAGCUCACUAAGGCGAUACUGACGCUGAGGCACGAAAGCGUGGGGAUCGAACAGGAUUAGAAACCCUUGUAGUCC